GAUGAACGCUGGCGGCGUGCCUAAUACAUGCAAGUCGAACGCAUAGCGAAAGGUGCUUGCACCUUUCAAGUGAGUGGCGAACGGGUGAGUAACACGUGGACAACCUGCCUCAAGGCUGGGGAUAACAUUUGGAAACAGAUGCUAAUACCGAAUAAAACUUAGUGUCGCAUGACACAAAGUUAAAAGGCGCUUCGGCGUCACCUAGAGAUGGAUCCGCGGUGCAUUAGUUAGUUGGUGGGGUAAAGGCCUACCAAGACAAUGAUGCAUAGCCGAGUUGAGAGACUGAUCGGCCACAUUGGGACUGAGACACGGCCCAAACUCCUACGGGAGGCUGCAGUAGGGAAUAUUCCACAAUGGGCGAAAGCCUGAUGGAGCAAUGCCGCGUGUGUGAUGAAGGCUUUCGGGUCGUAAAGCACUGUUGUAUGGGAAGAACAGCUAGAAUAGGAAAUGAUUUUAGUUUGACGGUACCAGAACAGAAAGGGACGGCUAAAUACGUG
Molecule: ribosomal RNA, 497 nt
Filed under: uncultured bacterium
Lineage: Bacteria
Description: partial 16S ribosomal RNA
Rfam family: Bacterial small subunit ribosomal RNA
Source: RNAcentral